This 63-nucleotide transfer RNA is filed under the name Plagiorchis multiglandularis. RNAcentral's name for it is "tRNA-Val". The record is from RNAcentral. Lineage: Eukaryota; Metazoa; Platyhelminthes; Trematoda; Plagiorchiida; Plagiorchiidae.
GGUAGGAUAGUUUAAUAAAAAUUCUUAUUUUACACGUAAGUGAUGACCUCUGGUCUGCUACCA